This 253-nucleotide ribosomal RNA is filed under the name uncultured bacterium. RNAcentral describes it as "partial 16S ribosomal RNA". It matches the Rfam family "Bacterial small subunit ribosomal RNA", at positions 524 to 776 of the family's 1533-position model. The record is from RNAcentral.
UACGGGGGGGGCAAGCGUUGUCCGGAUUUAUUGGGCGUAAAGAGCUCGUAGGCGGCUUGUCGCGUCGGCUGUGAAAUCCCGCGGCUCAACUGCGGGUCUGCAGUCGAUACGGGCAGGCUAGAGUUCGGUAGGGGAGACUGGAAUUCCUGGUGUAGCGGUGAAAUGCGGAGAUAUCAGGAGGAACACCGGUGGCGAAGGCGGGUCUCUGGGCCGAUACUGACGCUGAGGAGCGAAAGCGUGGGGAGCGAACAGG